Lactuca sativa (garden lettuce) is the source of this 1575-nucleotide non-coding RNA. NCBI's taxonomy places the organism in Eukaryota, Viridiplantae, Streptophyta, Magnoliopsida, Asterales, Asteraceae. The record is from RefSeq and is a predicted model, not a curated record.
GCACUUUUGAUUUAGUGUAAGAUUGUGUAGAUGUAGAAGUGAUGGAUGGGUUGUUGACCAUUGUUGACUUACGGUGGUGUUUGGUAUUGAUUCCAACCGGAUGAAGCUCUUGUGCUCCAAAUGGACUCUCAGAAGCUGCAGCAGUUGGGUCAGCUGCAAUUUCUGUUUCUGGAUAAUCUCUUUGCCUGCAGUCAUCACGCUAUUUGUAUAGUCUUCCUGUAGGUUUCCCAUGCACAAGAAUCCAUAAGAAUUUAUAAUGAAAGAUCAAAAGAACUAAGUGUCUCUUUGUCCACAAAAUUAUUCCUAUUUUGAUGUUAAAAGAUUUGUAGAUAUUUGGUUAACAGUAAAACACUUUCCAACAAUUAUAGUUUCUUUCAAUUGAUAGAUAAGUACAGGUUACAUAAAAUUAUUGAUAUAUACCCUCUCCAGCAAACUUGCAACACUAGUACAUGUUUAAGUGGCAAGAAUAGUAGCUGAAUGCAAAUAUAAGUAAAAGACUAACGGAAGUUAUUGUGUUCACCUUACAGUCCAUCAAUAAUUGGAAAGACAAUCUUCUUUGUAAAGUUGAACGCUUUGCUCCAAGCAUUAUAGGAACUAAGAUACUCACACAUUUAGAAUUUAUGCCAUCAAUAUCAGUUAUAGCAUCACCUGAUGAAAUCAGAUCUCCUACUUACAUACAUUAGCAAUUAUUUCCAUAGGGUGAUGACUAAUGACACAAUUGUUAAAGUAACAAAUGAGGAUUUCUUGCAACAGCUUAUCAAUCUAAUUUAAGUAAAAUUGUGUCAGAUCUAGCAUGAUUUGCCUAUUUGAGUUGCGUUGUAAGAACAAAGGUACCUCCAGUCUAUGAAUUGUGUUUUCCCUCUCGCCAGUUGACAAUACCUUCUGCGUGUCAACUCUAAUCAUGUCUUCACAAGUUCCCUGUUUGAUGCCACGAGUAAGAAACGUGAAAUUAGCACAAAUUUUCUAUGCACAGAUCAAUAGAAAUACACUAGUUAUAUGUGUGCCUGUUUCUGUAAUACAAUUGCAGAGUUCUAAUAAUCCUGACUACAGCACCUCAAUAAACUUAGAUUAGAGAUAUGGAUUCUUACGAUAUAAAUUACAUUACUCGUGAUAUGGAAAAGCAUACAAGCACUAUUGUCAGGUACUGGUACAUUACUUGAGUAUGUAAGCUGAUCUUCAUAAUGGUGCUUGAUCUUCCUUCUUCAGCCAUUUCAGCGCUUUUCAAACCGACGAGUUUCAUCAAUGGAACAGCUAACGAACUGAAAACGUCUUCUGCCUACACAAAUCCGAAAAAGGUGAGUGAAUGAGAGCUUGAGUUGAUCAUGGCGAUAAACAAUUCGAGAGAGUUUGGAGUGAAGUUUCGCCAUUGAUGGAGACGGUGGACGGUUCUGAGAUCUAGAACGAUGAUAGGUCAUGUCGCCGUUGUCGUGGCGGGAAAAUGCCGAUGGUUUAUGAAGAUAAAAGGGGUGAUUGCGAGUUGCUAUUUGAAACGGAUUAGUAGGUUUUUGAACAUACCUAUGAAAUUGAAAUCUAUUAUAUAUAUACUUAUAAUAAAUUUAAAGUUAUUUUUUGUCA